Molecule: long non-coding RNA, 850 nt
Organism: Capsella rubella
Lineage: Eukaryota; Viridiplantae; Streptophyta; Magnoliopsida; Brassicales; Brassicaceae
Exons: 4
Source: RefSeq, a predicted model, not a curated record
GGGCGAUUUGGAAGGCGAUUGAAAUCGGAGUCCAAUUUCUGCAAUUGGAAGCCGAAAUUGUCCUCGUCUCCGGCAUAGAAAUCUUCCUGAGAAAGCAGAACCCAAUCCUCCGCCGAUAUCAGACCAUGUACAUCGGUGAGCUGAAGCAUAAGGAGUGAAGAAGCACCAACUUCAUUGACAUUAAAAGUUGAAUCAUAGAUGGGCCAUGACUACAGCUAUUCUCAGCCUGAUUCCAGACCAGAAUGAUAUGCAUGACGACAGUGAAGACAAGGAAAGAGAAGCCUUGAUACUUAUGGAUGAAGGUGAGAGUAGCUUGAUCAGUGCUCAUGCUAUUCUCAUGGAUGAAGCUGAGAGUAACUUCCUCCAAGCUUAGGCCAGUCAAUACCCUCCUCAACCUGAGGUUGAGUUUAGAUUUCCAAAAGUGUGCUACUGUAGUGGGAGGCCGCUUCUAACUACUUGCAGUAACAAGAAUGAUACAGAAAGAAGGUUCUUCACAUGUCAUAAUGUUGAAGAUGGAGAGAUGUAUAUUCACAAGUGGUGGGAUGAGGCUGUAAUGGAGGAGAUGAGAGACAUGGACAGACAUUAUGAGGUGUUAUCUGAGAAGGUAGAUGGAUUAAACUACCUCACUGACUAUGAAACUGAGAAGAAACUACUUCACUUAGAAAUGUUAGUGUGUGAUCUAGGUAAGAAAAAUCUAAUGUUUAGAAAUGGAUCUGAGUUGGUUGUUGGUAUAAUAGCUGUUGUUGCAAUUGUAUUAGCUUUGUUGGUAAUGUUUAAGUAAAACAGCUUGCAUUUCAGACUUGUAAUAACAUUGUUGUUCACGGGUAUGUCUCUGUUUGUAUUGACUCGA